Molecule: ribosomal RNA, 423 nt
Filed under: uncultured bacterium
Lineage: Bacteria
Description: partial 16S ribosomal RNA
Rfam family: Bacterial small subunit ribosomal RNA
Source: RNAcentral
GAAUUUUGGACAAUGGGCGAAAGCCUGAUCUAGAAAUGCAGCGCGCAGGAUGAAGGUCUUCGGGUUGUAAACUGCUUUUGUACGGAACGAAAAUCUUUGGGUUAAUACCCUGUAGUCCUGACGGUAACGUAAGAAUAAGCACCGUCUAACUACGUGCAAGAAGCCGCGGUAAUACGUAGGGUGCAAGCGUUAAUCGUGAUUACUGGGCGUAAAGCGUUCGCAGGCGGUUUUGUAAGACAGAGGUGAAAUCCCCGGGCUCAACCUGGGAACUGCCUUUGUGACUGCAAGGCUAGAGUACGGCAGAGGGGGGUGGAAUUCCGCGUGUAGCAGUGAAAUGCGUAGAUAUGCGGAGGAACACCGAUGGCGAAGGCAACCCCCUGGGCCUGUACUGACGCUCAUGCACGAAAGCGUGGGGAGCAAACA